GACGAACGCUGGCGGCGUGCUUCAUACAUGCAAGUCGAACGAGAAGCUGACUUCGGUCAGUGGAAAGUGGCGGACGGGUGAGUAAUAUGUAGGAAAUCUGCCUUUAGGAGGGGGACAACAGAGGGAAACUUCUGCUAAUACCCCAUAUGAGCGUAGCUGAAAUGCUAUUCUUGAAAACUCCGGUGCCUAAAGAUGAGCCUGCAUCUGAUUAGCUAGUUGGUAGUGUAAUGGACUACCAAGGCGACGAUCAGUAGCUGGUUUGAGAGGAUGAUCAGCCACAAUGGGACUGAGACACGGCCCAUACUCCUACGGGAGGCAGCAGUAGGGAAUUUUGCGCAAUGGGCGAAAGCCUGAUGCAGCAACGCCGCGUGAACGAUUAAGCCCUUCGGGGUGUAAAGUUCUGUCAGUGGGGACGAAACUUGACGGUACCCACAGAGGAAGCACCGGCUAACUCCGUG
RNAcentral lists this ribosomal RNA (458 nucleotides) under uncultured bacterium. RNAcentral's name for it is "partial 16S ribosomal RNA". It matches the Rfam family "Bacterial small subunit ribosomal RNA", at positions 28 to 507 of the family's 1533-position model. The record is from RNAcentral.